This is a long non-coding RNA of Chinchilla lanigera (long-tailed chinchilla), 542 nucleotides long. RefSeq lists it as uncharacterized. The record is from RefSeq and is a predicted model, not a curated record. NCBI's taxonomy places the organism in Eukaryota, Metazoa, Chordata, Mammalia, Rodentia, Chinchillidae. The transcript is spliced from 3 exons.
AGAAGGACAAAUCAGUUUGAUUCUAAAUUGGAAGGAACGCUGCAUUUCAGGAAUUGGAUGAGCAGUUUUCCUUUUAAGUCAGCACGUCUUUAUUUCUGCUGACACUGUUUCCAGCAUGUGGGGAUUAGAACUGGGAAAACCAGCACAAGACCAUCACUGCUGACAUCGUAGACAGACAUCACCACAGGUUCUCUUGGCUCAUUGCUCAGGUGACAUCCUGAACUGCCUUUGAAUUCCACAGACUCCUCACCAGCAAGAAAACUCUGAAGAGUACUAAAGAAUGGUCACAUUCACUUCUCAGUUGCUCUCUGGAAUACACAAACUGUGUCAGAGUUGGCCUCCAUGGCACGGAGAUGACAGGCCAGUAUGUUCACGUCAUGAGUUGUGGGCUCAAACUGGCCUCUAUCUUCUGCAGCAACUCACAGAAUGAGUGAGUUGUUCCUGUGCCUGAGCCCAGGAAUGCCUGAGUGGGACCCUGGUUUAAGUGGUCUGGAAAAAUCUCACAUGGGAAUCUGUCAACCACUAUCAAUUACCCCCAAAUA